ACUUAAAUUGAAGAGUUUGAUCAUGGNCUCAGAUUGAACGCUGGCGGCAGGCCUAACACAUGCAAGUCGAGCGGUAGCACAGAGAGCUUGCUCUCGGGUGACGAGCGGCGGACGGGUGAGUAAUGUCUGGGAAACUGCCUGAUGGAGGGGGAUAACUACUGGAAACGGUAGCUAAUACCGCAUAAUGUCGCAAGACCAAAGUGGGGGACC
This 210-nucleotide ribosomal RNA is filed under the name Klebsiella pneumoniae. Its description in RNAcentral is "partial 16S ribosomal RNA". It matches the Rfam family "Bacterial small subunit ribosomal RNA", at positions 1 to 215 of the family's 1533-position model. The record is from RNAcentral. Lineage: Bacteria; Pseudomonadati; Pseudomonadota; Gammaproteobacteria; Enterobacterales; Enterobacteriaceae.